GCUGUCUGCAGGGAGGCAGGGUGAAAAAGAGAGAGCAAGCAUCAUCGGCCAUGCAGCAGCUGCCAGAGCCUAUGAAACAGCAGUGCUCACACACACAUACGCACACAAAGAUGGCUUUCCCUAUUUGCCAGUUUCUCUUUCACAUAGUAUUAACCCUGACACAGCAGCAGGGAGCAGGGACAGGAGCUGACAAGCAGCAAGUGGGAUCUCAGCAAGGCAAAGAUCUUCUGACUCACAGAGUCUGACCACUUUGGGAGCGGAUUCACUAUAAUAUAAUGAAUUCUUGAGGCUGAUGAAGGUUAAAUUAUUGAAGAAAACAUAUGAAGUUAUGUGGAGUGGAACUUUUGUAUUUCCCUUUCAGCAUUUAAAAGGUUUUACUAAUGAGAAUAAUGAGGAAGAGGAAAAUUUUCAGAAGAUUUUGACAUGAGUGAGAAGAGCCAGAUUUCCCCAAAUGCCUAAUACUUCUUUAUGAAGCUGAAUACAUGGAGAGUACUUUGACCUCCAGGAACUGUCAGCACCAGAUACUUCACUGGAAAGUAUUAAGAGCCACAGAAGAGGGACUCAUCAGGUGAUCUCUUCCUCAAGUUUUGACUUAUCUGGAUUUCCAGACCAUAAUAAAUUUGAACCUUGAACCAUAAUGUUUGUUAACCAGAAAGGAAUCCUUCAAAAGUAGCAUUACUUACAUUUCUGGAUAUUCCAGUUCCCAAGCAUCAAUCUAUUUGAGAGCCUUACUAAGAUCUUUACCCCAAAGAUUCUACAGACACUGAGUACCACUGCUGCCAUUUGGAUGAAAAGCAUUUCUCUUCAGAGGUUCGGAACUAAAAUAUAGUACAGAGUAUCACACCAUGAUCUUCAAAGCUACUUGUUGCUUCUAAAAAUGUCCCUCAUUAUAGUUAUGAAACAACUAAAAAUCUGAUCCUUUGACCUGUGAUACUGUCAGAAAAUGAGGCAAAGGUUUGCAGAUAACAUGUGCUUUCUUCCCCAAAUUUCUUACUUGUCACAUUCUAGAAAGACUGCAGUUUUCUGAAUAGAAAGUCCAACAUCUAAAAAUAAGGUAUCCAAGACCACUCAUCUUCUGUGCAAAUCUCAGCCCCAAAUGACCUUCCCUGAGAUUACUCACAACUGUACCCAGAAAAACAAAACUCUGGUAUUUUUGGAGAGAAAAGCUGUUCCUACUCAGGAUCAUAUGCUCCUUCCCAGAUUAGAUUAUAGCUUUCAUCAUCAGGCAAGUACAAUCUUACAUUUAUAACCAGUUUGUUAAAAUAAAUUGUUUUCUUUUUUGUUGUUGUUGUUGUCUGUUUUGUUUUUUAAAGUCUAAUUUUGGCAAAUUAGAUUUUUUUCCUCAACUGAGCUACAUGCAAGCUUGAAAUCCAAAUGUUCCUUCCGACUAUGACUAUAUAAGCGCUUAUCACAUACUGUGCUUCAGCAACAAAUACAGAUCUGCAGCAUAUGACGCAAAGUGAUAGCAGAAGAUUCCAGGUGACACAUUUUGGAAAUCUAUCUUGUCUAUUUUGGAGACUAGAUGAGUGUAUCUAUUGCUUUAUAUGCAUUUGUACAAGCAAAAGAAAAAUUUGCUGUGCCAGAUGCUUGAAAAUAAGUCAGAUUGCUGUAAAAUAGCAUAAUUAAUUCAUCACACUGAACAAAGCAAACUUACUCCUUCUCAUAGAUAAGUAUAAAGAACAUAUAUUCUGUACAUAUGUGUGUGUGUGGAUAUACAUCUGUAUAAAAUAUAUACAUCAUCAUAAACUUUUUGGAAACCUUGUGUUCAAAGAUAUGGAAAAUGAUAUGAAUAAAUUAAAUGAAGUCACUCAAAAAUUAAAUGGCACCUAAUUUUUUAAACCACCAGCACAGAUUUGCUGCAACGAAGACUUUAAAACAUAUGCUUUACCACAAGCAACUGUUUAGAAAUCUGAGUCUUCACACUUGACAUAUUCAACUUGUUAUGCCAUGGCAGAUGAGGACUCACAUUUUACUGGAACUGUAAGAUGUUAAGACAUUGUUAACAUAAACGGUUUAACAUUUAUUCUGUAGUUUAUAUUGCCAAAUAUCAGCAUCAAAUAUGAUGUAGCUUGACAGUCAUUUUUGCCUGUUCAGGGCUGGAUGCAACUAUGCUGAUGAUGGGCUGCUGGUAAAUAGGAAUGCACAUUAAUGGUGCUAAUGAGAGGAGACAGGCAAUUACAGUUCUCUAUGUCAUGCCAAAAAAUCCACCCAGAAUAACAAUCCCAAUACAAUGAUCCUACCUUCUGAUAGACAUUUUUUUAAGACAAAGUGAUAAAACAUAAAGCAUCUUUCUAUAUACAAUGUGGUUCUGUGAAAUGCCAUUUUAACACUAAAAGUAAGUACAUUUUCACAGACAAUAAGGAAUUUCCCCAGAGAUAUUCUUUCUUGUCCCUACAAAUUACGUGCAACAAUUAUUUAAAAUACAUCCUAAGAGGCCAAUCUUCCUCUUACUACCUGUAGUAUGAAAAUAACUUUUGCAGUGUGUUGUUUCAAUAAAACAAGCCAGACAAACCCUCCCCUUCCCACUUCACUGUAAAAAGUGGAGUUAAACCUGAGAAAAUAGUAACGGAGCUCACCUUGCUAGCUGCCAAAACACACAUAGGGCUUCCUGUGGAGAUAAAGGAGAGCUGUCUCUGAAGCCACAACAGUUCUUUCUGAGAUUGUUUCAGUAGCUCUUCCGUGUCACCUGGCUUCUGCCCCAUCAGCCCUUCCUGCAUGACAGGAGAUUUUCAAAUUCUGUUUCGAAACCAGAAAUAUUGUGAAUUCAAACACAAAACCUUUUUUACACAUGAUAGUUUGGAAAAUAUUUAAUGUCAAUUAGCUGUCUGUUUGGACC
Molecule: long non-coding RNA, 2836 nt
Organism: Cygnus atratus (black swan)
Lineage: Eukaryota; Metazoa; Chordata; Aves; Anseriformes; Anatidae
Exons: 3
Source: RefSeq, a predicted model, not a curated record